AGAGUUUGAUCAUGGCUCAGAGUGAACGCUGGCGGCGUGCUUAACACAUGCAAGUCGAGCGAGAUUUAACAGCGUAUCGUUAGGUCUAGCGGCAGACGGGUGAGUAAUACUUGGACAAUCUACCCUUAAGUGGGGGACAACCUGCCGAAAGGCGGGCUAAUACCCCAUAAGACCACAGAAGUGCAUACUUCAGGGGUCAAAGCUCCGCAAGGGGCGCUAAAGGAGGAGUCCGAGUCCUAUCAUGGUAGUUGGCGGGGUAAUGGCCCACCAAGCCGUUGACGGGUAGCCGGCCUGAAAGGGCAACCGGCCACACUGGCACUGAGACACGGGCCAGACUCCUACGGGAGGCAGCAGUGGGGAAUUUUGGACAAUGGGGGCAACCCUGAUCCAGCGACGCCGCGUGAAGGAUGAAGGUCUUCGGAUUGUAAACUUCUUUUAGAGGGGAUGAAUGCCCUGGUGAAUAGCCAGGGGUGACAGUACCCUUUGAAUAAGCCACGGCUAACUACGUGCCAGCAGCCGCGGUAAUACGUAGGUGGCAAGCGUUACUCGGAAUCACUAGGCGUAAAGCGCAGGUAGGAGGUUUAGUAAGUCUGUUGUGAAAGCUCCCGGCUUAACUGGGAGAGGUCAACGGAAACUGCUAGGCUAGAGUGCGGUAGAGGUAGCUGGAAUUCCCGGUGUAGCGGUGAAAUGCGUAGAUAUCGGGAGGAAUACCUAUGGCGAAAGCAGGCUACUGGACCGUCACUGACUCUGAUCUGCGAAAGCUAGGGGAGCAAACAGGAUUAGAUACCCUAGUAGUCC
Molecule: ribosomal RNA, 798 nt
Filed under: uncultured bacterium
Lineage: Bacteria
Description: bacterial SSU rRNA
Rfam family: Bacterial small subunit ribosomal RNA
Source: RNAcentral